RNAcentral lists this transfer RNA (72 nucleotides) under Loxodonta africana (African savanna elephant). It matches the Rfam family "tRNA". Rfam says of the family: Transfer RNA (tRNA) molecules are approximately 80 nucleotides in length. Their secondary structure includes four short double-helical elements and three loops (D, anti-codon, and T loops). Lineage: Eukaryota; Metazoa; Chordata; Mammalia; Proboscidea; Elephantidae. The record is from Rfam by way of RNAcentral.
GCAGUGGUGGUUCAGUGGUAGAAUUCUCCUGCCUUCCAUGAAGGAGAGCUGGGCUCGAUUCCCACCAAUGCA